Molecule: ribosomal RNA, 253 nt
Filed under: uncultured bacterium
Lineage: Bacteria
Description: partial 16S ribosomal RNA
Rfam family: Bacterial small subunit ribosomal RNA
Source: RNAcentral
UACGUAGGGUGCAAGCGUUAAUCGGAAUUACUGGGCGUAAAGCGUGCGCAGGCGGUUAUGUAAGACAGAUGUGAAAUCCCCGGGCUCAACCUGGGAACUGCAUUUGUGACUGUAUAGCUAGAGUACGGUAGAGGGGGAUGGAAUUCCGCGUGUAGCAGUGAAAUGCGUAGAUAUGCGGAGGAACACCGAUGGCGAAGGCAAUCCCCUGGACCUGUACUGACGCUCAUGCACGAAAGCGUGGGGAGCAAACAGG